CGACCGCUGGCGGUGUGCUUAACACAUGCAAGUCGAACGGCAAGGCCCCUUUGGGGGUACUCGAGUGGCGAACGGGUGAGUAACACGUGAGUAACCUGCCCUUGACUUCGGGAUAACUUCAGGAAACUGGGGCUAAUACCGGAUAGGAAUCCUUGCUGCAUGGUGGGGGUUGGAAAGCUUCGGCGGUUUUGGAUGGACUCGCGGCUUAUCAGCUUGUUGGUGGGGUAGUGGCUUACCAAGGCUUUGACGGGUAGCCGGCCUGAGAGGGCGACCGGCCACAUUGGGACUGAGAUACGGCCCAGACUCCUACGGGAGGCAGCAGUGGGGAAUAUUGCACAAUGGGCGGAAGCCUGAUGCAGCAACGCCGCGUGCGGGAUGACGGCCUUCGGGUUGUAAACCGCUUUCAGCAGGGGCGAAGCUUGUGGUGACGGUACCUGCAGAAGAAGCACCGGCUAACUACGUG
This 463-nucleotide ribosomal RNA is filed under the name uncultured bacterium. RNAcentral describes it as "partial 16S ribosomal RNA". It matches the Rfam family "Bacterial small subunit ribosomal RNA", at positions 30 to 507 of the family's 1533-position model. The record is from RNAcentral.